AUUUGAGAAAUUGAGUCAAUUACGUUUCAUUGUUUCACACCCUAUUGUUGCUUUUAUUUUGAUGGGGACAAACCAAAUCUCCUACUCGUCCGUCAUUCGUCAAGUUACCUGGACGGUGAACAAGUAAAUUGAACCAAGUGGAAAUUGAAAUUAAAACAAGAGAAACCCAACUAGUUGGUCAGCCUGAAAUAUAUUAGCCCAAGUCCGACUUAAAAUAAGACUAUAAGCCCAUUAAACACACCCCUCAAAUUAUCCGACUUUUUUUCCCCCUUCUGGAGACAAAGAAGAAGAACCCUAAUAUCCAUCCGAUCAUGGCACCGAACAACAAUCUGAGAUCCGUAAUCGCGCAGUGCCGCCAUUUAUCUACGAGGUCUCGCCGCAAUGUACCUUCGUCCCGUAGUUACAAUGGUAACAACAAUGUUUUGGGAGAAGGCCGAAGAAGAGUUAUGGCCAGUGGCGAUGGGUUUAAUUAUGUUAAUUGUUUUUUGUCAUCAUUAACGUUCGGAAAUCUUGCUUUCGGUGGUUGGGCAAUUAUCGAGCUACUAGAAUUCCGUCGAACGAUGAUGAGGGAUGUGGAAGAACGUAAUCGUCGUCUUGGCGUAAGGGGGGAGCCACCGGAGAUACUGCGUGAUAUGCUUAAUUGGAUCCUCCAAUGAUUGAAUUCAGAAGAAUUUGUCUUUAGUUUAUGUUUGAUGCUGUAAACAAACAAAAGUUAUAACCUAUGGGUCUGUGAUGUAGCUCUCUGUGUUAGGUUUUUGUAUGAUGCUUUGAAAAAGUUAGACUAGUAAUCUAUGGUUGUGGACCUUGUGGUUAUGUUGGUCAGUGUUAGGGUUUUGUUUGACGCUGUGUGCAAAAUAAAAUUAGUAAUAUAUAUUGGGAGGACUUAUUGUCCUGGACCAGAGUCACGACUGCGAGAGCUCCUUCCGUCCUAAGAAAGCUUGUGGUUCAGGCCAUUAUCUACUCGGCAUGGAAGCAGAGUAACAAUGUGCUGCAUAAUAACCAAGUCAUCCCUCCAGCUACCAUCUUCAAGACCCUAGACCGUGAAGUCAUUAACUCUAAUUGAGCUGUUUGCUCAAUUAGAGUCUGAAAUCUUCUGGAUUAGUUUGCUUCCUAGUUUUUUAUUCAUUUUUGCCAAGGAACCAAGUCUUAGGUAAUCCUUAUGUAAUUCCUAACAUUUCAUUUAUAUGAUAUUUACUCUCUUUGCAAAAAAAAUAUAACAUUUUUAUGUUAUAAUAUAUUUGAUUUGCCGUUUAAAAAAAAAAUUGUUUCUAUUAAAUAUCCAAGAACAUGAAGUCAUAUAUUAUUCCCUAUAUUAUUUAGGAGGUCAGUUUGGUAACCAGUAAUAAAUGGGGUCAUGGGGAUGUCAUAAACAGCAGUGAACAAUAGGACACGCUUUAAAAAAAAAAAAAAAAGAAGAAGAAGAGCGAACCCUAAUUUCCGAUCAUGUCGCGGAAUAAGCAUCUGAGAUCAGCAUGUGAGCAGUGCCGCAAUUUAUCUUCAUCCCGUAGUAGCAAAGUGGAGAUGGGAGCUAGGUUCUUAGUUCAAGGUUAUUAUUUGUAUGGAGGUCAAUUAGAUAAAUAUGAGGAGAAGCGGCAACAGAUUGUGAUGGACGUUUUUGGGAAUCCUGCGGAAAUCGAGGAUCUGAGGAAGAAAAUGUGGCCUGAGUUAAGGAAGAUGGCGUGGUUUAGAAGUUUGGACAAGAAGUGGUCUGACUAUAAAUCGAAAUCCUAAAUAUCUCUGAUGCUUUGUACCCGGUCAUUGUGUAGUAGUCGAACAUAUAAAUUAAGGAAUUGCGCAGCGUUAAAAAUAUAUGUCUUCUAUUAUUGUUGUAAGAAAAUAUGUCUAUGGGAAUGAAUGGGAAGCAUAAUGUUUCACUUAA
Molecule: RNA transcript, 1879 nt
Organism: Arabidopsis lyrata subsp. lyrata
Lineage: Eukaryota; Viridiplantae; Streptophyta; Magnoliopsida; Brassicales; Brassicaceae
Exons: 9
Source: RefSeq, a predicted model, not a curated record